ACGUACGACCAUAGGGUGUGGAAAACAGGGCUUCCCGUCCGCUCAGCCGUACUUAAGCCACACGCCGGUGAGUUAGUAGUUGGGUGGGUGACCACCAGCGAAUCCUCACUGUUGUAUGUU
This is a ribosomal RNA of Penicillium freii, 120 nucleotides long. The record is from Rfam. NCBI's taxonomy places the organism in Eukaryota, Fungi, Ascomycota, Eurotiomycetes, Eurotiales, Aspergillaceae.